UAGCGGCCACAUCACAUUAAAAGACAGGUUCUUGUACGAUCUCUGAAGUUAAGCAACGUCGAGCCUGAUCUAUACCAGGCUGGGCGGCCGCUUGGAAAUACCAGGUUCUGUAAG
Non-coding RNA from Acanthosepion pharaonis, 114 nucleotides. Lineage: Eukaryota; Metazoa; Mollusca; Cephalopoda; Sepiida; Sepiidae. The record is from the annotation of a GenBank genome assembly.